Molecule: ribosomal RNA, 487 nt
Filed under: uncultured bacterium
Lineage: Bacteria
Description: partial 16S ribosomal RNA
Rfam family: Bacterial small subunit ribosomal RNA
Source: RNAcentral
AUUGAACGCUGGCGGCAUGCCUUACACAUGCAAGUCGAACGGCAGCACGGGUGCUUGCACCUGGUGGCGAGUGGCGAACGGGUGAGUAAUACAUCGGAACAUGUCCUGUAUUGGGGGAUAGCCCGGCGAAAGCCGGAUUAAUACCGCAUACGAUCUACGGAUGAAAGCGGGGGACCUUCGGGCCUCGCGCUAUAGGGUUGGCCGAUGGCUGAUUAGCUAGUUGGUGGGGUAAAGGCCUACCAAGGCGACGAUCAGUAGCUGGUCUGAGAGGACGACCAGCCACCAUGGGACUGAGACACGGCCCAGACUCCUACGGGAGGCAGCAGUGGGGAAUUUUGGACAAUGGGCGAAAGCCUGAUCCAGCAAUGCCGCGUGUGUGAAGAAGGCCUUCGGGUUGUAAAGCACUUUUGUCCGGAAAGAAAUCCUUGGCCCUAAUACGGUCGGGGGGAUGACGGUACCGGAAGAAUAAGCACCGGCUAACUACGUG